GUUGCCAUCAGGUCAAGCUGGGGACUCUAAUGAAACUGCCUACGCAAGUAGUGAGGAAGGUGGGGAUGACGUCAAAUCAGCACGGCCCUUACGUCCAGGGCUACACACGUGCUACAAUGGCCGGUACAAAGGGCAGCUACCUGGUGACAGGAUGCUAAUCUCAAAAGCCGGUCUCAGUUCGGAUCGGAGUCUGCAACUCGACUGCAUGAAGUUGGAAUCGCUAGUAAUCGUGGAUCAGCCAAGCCGCGGUGAAUACGUUCCCGGGCCUU
Molecule: ribosomal RNA, 269 nt
Filed under: uncultured Sphingobacteriales bacterium
Lineage: Bacteria; Pseudomonadati; Bacteroidota; Sphingobacteriia; Sphingobacteriales
Description: partial 16S ribosomal RNA
Rfam family: Bacterial small subunit ribosomal RNA
Source: RNAcentral